AUUGAACGCUGGCGGCAUGCUUUACACAUGCAAGUCGAACGGUAACAGGCCUUCGGGUGCUGACGAGUGGCGAACGGGUGAGUAAUGCAUCGGAACGUACCCAGAGGUGGGGGAUAACGCAGCGAAAGCUGUGCUAAUACCGCAUGUGAUCUGAGGAUGAAAGCGGGGGACCGAGCAGCAAUGUUUGGCCUCGCGUCUUUGGAGCGGCCGAUGUCGGAUUAGCUAGUUGGUGGGGUAAAGGCCUACCAAGGCGACGAUCCGUAGCUGGUCUGAGAGGACGACCAGCCACACUGGGACUGAGACACGGCCCAGACUCCUACGGGAGGCAGCAGCGGGGAAUUUUGGACAAUGGGCGCAAGCCUGAUCCAGCAAUGCCGCGUGCGGGAAGAAGGCCUUCGGGUUGUAAACCGCUUUUGGCAGGAACGAAACGGUGUCCGCUAAUACCGGGCGCUAAUGACGGUACCUGCAGAAUAAGCACCGGCUAACUACGUG
RNAcentral lists this ribosomal RNA (492 nucleotides) under uncultured bacterium. RNAcentral describes it as "partial 16S ribosomal RNA". It matches the Rfam family "Bacterial small subunit ribosomal RNA", at positions 29 to 507 of the family's 1533-position model. The record is from RNAcentral.